This 846-nucleotide ribosomal RNA is filed under the name Fusarium graminearum. RNAcentral's name for it is "LSU rRNA". It matches the Rfam family "Eukaryotic large subunit ribosomal RNA", at positions 38 to 914 of the family's 3401-position model. The record is from RNAcentral. Lineage: Eukaryota; Fungi; Ascomycota; Sordariomycetes; Hypocreales; Nectriaceae.
GCAUAUCAAUAAGCGGAGGAAAAGAAACCAACAGGGAUUGCCCUAGUAACGGCGAGUGAAGCGGCAACAGCUCAAAUUUGAAAUCUGGCUUUCGGGCCCGAGUUGUAAUUUGUAGAGGAUGAUUUUGAUGCGGUGCCUUCCGAGUUCCCUGGAACGGGACGCCAUAGAGGGUGAGAGCCCCGUCUGGUUGGAUGCCAAAUCUCUGUAAAUCUCCUUCGACGAGUCGAGUAGUUUGGGAAUGCUGCUCUAAAUGGGAGGUAUAUGUCUUCUAAAGCUAAAUACCGGCCAGAGACCGAUAGCGCACAAGUAGAGUGAUCGAAAGAUGAAAAGCACUUUGAAAAGAGAGUUAAAAAGUACGUGAAAUUGUUGAAAGGGAAGCGUUUAUGACCAGACUUGGGCUUGGUUAAUCAUCUGGGGUUCUCUCCAGUGCACUUUUCCAGUCCAGGCCAGCAUCAGUUUUCGCCGGGGGAUAAAGGCUUCGGGAAUGUGGCUCCCCUCGGGGAGUGUUAUAGCCCGUUGUGUAAUACCCUGGUGGGGACUGAGGUUCGCGCUUCUGCAAGGAUGCUGGCGUAAUGGUCAUCAACGACCCGUCUUGAAACACGGACCAAGGAGUCGUCUUCGUAUGCGAGUGUUCGGGUGUCAAACCCCUACGCGUAAUGAAAGUGAACGCAGGUGAGAGCUUCGGCGCAUCAUCGACCGAUCCUGAUGUUCUCGGAUGGAUUUGAGUAAGAGCAUACGGGGCCGGACCCGAAAGAAGGUGAACUAUGCCUGUGUAGGGUGAAGCCAGAGGAAACUCUGGUGGAGGCUCGCAGCGGUUCUGACGUGCAAAUCGAUCGUCAAACAUGG